Molecule: RNase P RNA, 233 nt
Filed under: Pseudorhodobacter sp.
Lineage: Bacteria; Pseudomonadati; Pseudomonadota; Alphaproteobacteria; Rhodobacterales; Paracoccaceae
Description: partial RNase P RNA component class A
Rfam family: Bacterial RNase P class A
About the family: Ribonuclease P (RNase P) is a ubiquitous endoribonuclease, found in archaea, bacteria and eukarya as well as chloroplasts and mitochondria. Its best characterised activity is the generation of mature 5'-ends of tRNAs by cleaving the 5'-leader elements of precursor-tRNAs.
Source: RNAcentral
GCGGAUGGCCGGAUGGCCGCGUGGGCGGUAACGCCUGCGAGGAAAGUCCGGACUCCAUGAGGCAAGGGUGCCGGGUAACGCCCGGCGGGGGCAACCCCAGGGAAAGCGCCACAGAGAACAGUCUGCCCCAUCGGCCGCAAGGUCCGGGGUGAUGGUGAAACGGCGGGGUAAAAGCCCACCGCAGGUCUGGCAACAGAACUGGCACGGCAAGCCCCACCCGGAGCAAUGCCGAA